GAGGAGGACCUGAGCAAAAUGCGAGAAGCAGCGAAACAAGCAGAGCUUGAAUCGGAGG
RNAcentral lists this ribosomal RNA (58 nucleotides) under uncultured Pyramimonadales. RNAcentral's name for it is "partial 5.8S ribosomal RNA". Lineage: Eukaryota; Viridiplantae; Chlorophyta; Pyramimonadophyceae; Pyramimonadales. The record is from RNAcentral.